GAGCACUCAGACAGGAGCAUCCAGACAGGAGCACUCAUACAGGAGCACUCAGACAGGAGCAUCCAGACAGGAACAUCCAGACAGGAGCACUCAGACAGGAGCAUCCAGACAGGAGCACUCAUACAGGAGCACUCAGACAGGAGCAUCUAGACAGGAGCACUGAGACAGGAGCAUCCAGACAGGAGCACUCAAACAGGAGCACUCAGACAGGAGCACUCUGUGUGACAGCACAGACCUGGAGCCGGCCUGCGGGAGGUGGAAGCCAGCCCUGCUCUUACGAGCCGCCUGGCCUUGGGCAGGUGACAUAAUCCCUCUGUCUCUCAGUUGCCUUAUCUCUAAAUGGGGACGACAGUACCUGUAUUAUUGUCAGGAUGAAGCGUGCGUGCAUGGAAAACUCUCAGAACAGGGCUUGCUGCACAAGUCCGUAUUGCGUGUCAGCUAUUCAUCCUCAACAGACAAUUUUCGAGCGUCUGCUGUGUGCCGGAGCCCGCGUUGCACGGAGGACGCAGCAGUGCACGGACAGACUCAGGCCCCGCCCUGUGGAGCACAUGUUCUAGCCCUUCUUCGGCCCCUGGCCCUCUGUGUCCUCAGGUUUUCUUUCAGCUCUAUUGUCCCAGGGGGUCCUCAGAAAGGCCCCAUGAGGUUGGCACAAUGACCUUAUCCCCAUCUGACAGAUGCAGACACUGAGGCCGGGAGAGAACUGAUGUUCUCUUUGCACAGAGCCUCGAUCUGCUGUCACAAAUCUGUGUGUUCCUUCAACAAAGGCACUGUGACACACGUGGUCCAGAGGCCCGUGUCUCCUGAGGGCCAGCUGUGUUUCCUCUGCCUGGAAGCCCUCCAGCAAAUGAAAUCUCAACUGGGACCAACCUCUCGCCCCAGAGCAGGGACUCUCUGCAGCCCCUCACGGCAGAUGUUCUGGAGCCCCAGGUCCCAGCAGCAGAGACAGGAAUCGCCGGACCCCGGGGCCUCCGGGAGCCACGUGUGCCAGCGCAGCGCCUGCCAGCUCCCAGGCUGACCUCACAAUGGCUCCUUUCACCAGGAGAGGAGCUGGCCCGGCCCGGAGCCUGCGGGGGGAUGUCCCAGGCCCCAGGGCGUGGGGUGGGAGGUUGGAAACUGGGGAAUGGGCUGCUGAGGCUGGGAGAGCUGAAGGAUCUCAGCGCCACAUCCACCACCCGAUGUCAAGGGACUGCUUCAGGCGUAGUCUUAUGACCCAAACCAGUCCAGGGAGUUCCAUUUCCAGAUCCUGUGUUUAAACAUUUGGAGAAAUGAAUGUUUCCUCCUACUGGGCUUGGAACUGGGAGAGUGUCAGCCUGGAGCUGCCCGAAUUUGGAAAGGGCCUGCUCCAGAGUGAAGCCAACACAGGGAAAAGCAGAGAGAUGGAGGACCAAAUCCUGAUGGCAUCAUUUGAAAUCCUAGAUCCAGCUGUACCUGAAGCAGAUAAACUAAAUUUUGCAGUUUCUUGAGUCAAUCAAUUUGCUUUUCAUUUAAGCCUCUCGAGAUUGUGUUUUCUGUCUCUUGAACCCAGGAGUUCUGACCACUACAGAGGUCCUCCCUCCUCUGGCCUCAAACCACCUCUGCGGUCCCACCUGCCUUGCUCUGCCUUGCCACUCCCCCAAACGCCUGUCCUCAGCCUGAAACGUCUGUCUCCCUUCGCUCUAAAACCCCACCCAUCCGUCCGGGAGCUCACGGCCCUUCACAUGGGACAAGAGGCCGCUUCGGAGUUGGACAGACUCGAGUGCAAGUCCUGGCUGUUCCGUGCGGCACUUGAGUCACGUGCAGCAGGUCACAGAACUUCCUUGAGCCUCAGUUUCCUUAAAAUGGCAAACGCACGGUGCUUACUAUGUGCUAGGUAUUGUUCUAAGUGCUUUACGAGUCCCGGCAGUCUAGUUCUUUCAUCUCCCCCGGGGGACGGAGGCCCUGCUGUUACCCUCAUUCCAGCAAGGGGGAAACUGAGGCCUGGAGAGGAGGCGCUGGGGUGGGACUCAGACGCCGGCUCCAGUGUCAGGGCUCUCAACACCCGACGGUCUUGCCCCUCGCAAAAUGGGGGUGAUACUAGGACCUUCUUCGUAAG
Molecule: long non-coding RNA, 2071 nt
Filed under: Equus caballus (horse)
Lineage: Eukaryota; Metazoa; Chordata; Mammalia; Perissodactyla; Equidae
Description: lncRNA (ENSECAG00000030179.3)
Source: RNAcentral